Molecule: ribosomal RNA, 424 nt
Filed under: Cryptomycota sp. clade XII
Lineage: Eukaryota; Fungi; Rozellomycota
Description: SSU rRNA
Rfam family: Eukaryotic small subunit ribosomal RNA
Source: RNAcentral
CCUUAACCUGCUAAAUAGUCCUGCGAACUUUGGUUCGUAGCUGACUUCUUAGAGGGACUAUCCGUUUUUAGCGGAAGGAAGUUUGAGGCAAUAACAGGUCUGUGAUGCCCUUAGAUGUUCUGGGCUGCACGCGCGCUACACUGAUGAAAUCAACGAGUACUUCCUUGGCCGAAAGGUCUGGGUAAUCUUUUGAAAUUUCAUCGUGCUGGGGAUAGACCAUUGCAAUUAUUGGUCUUCAACGAGGAAUUCCUAGUAAGCGUGAGUCAUCAGCUCGCGUUGAUUACGUCCCUGCCCUUUGUACACACCGCCCGUCGCUACUACCGAUGAAUGGCUUAGUGAGACCCUCGGAUUGUACUCCAAGUCAGCAAUGACGAAGAGCGCGAGAAGUUGGUCAAACUUGGUCAUUUAGAGGAAGUAAAAGUCG